UCCUACGGGAGGCAGCAGUAGGGAAUAUUGCUCAAUGGGGGAAACCCUGAAGCAGCAACGCCGCGUGGAGGAUGAAGGUUUUCGGAUUGUAAAGUUCUGUUGAAGGGGAAAAAGAGCGGAGAGAGGAAAUGAACUCCGAUUGAUAUUACCCUUCGAGGAAGUCACGGCUAACUACGUGCCAGCAGCCGCGGUAAUACGUAGGUGGCGAGCGUUAUCCGGAAUGAUUGGGCGUAAAGGGUGCGUAGGCGGCCUGCUAAGUCUGGAGUGACAGGUACCGGCUCAACCGGUACAGGCUCUGGAAACUG
This 305-nucleotide ribosomal RNA is filed under the name uncultured bacterium. Its description in RNAcentral is "bacterial SSU rRNA". It matches the Rfam family "Bacterial small subunit ribosomal RNA", at positions 337 to 635 of the family's 1533-position model. The record is from RNAcentral.